This 1555-nucleotide long non-coding RNA is filed under the name Linum usitatissimum (flax). RNAcentral describes it as "long non-coding RNA (LUSI_LNC003014)". Lineage: Eukaryota; Viridiplantae; Streptophyta; Magnoliopsida; Malpighiales; Linaceae. The record is from RNAcentral.
GAGAGAUGUUAAAGUCUAUAUAUAUAAAAGAGUCUUCAUCCCUUGUUUUUGCAUAAGACUUUGAUAUUGAAAAUUUGAACUUUUAACUUCUUGAGUUUCAAACUUGUUAAGGGUCUUUGAUAGUGCAUGGUGAUUCGUACUUGAGAGAGCGAUAGUUGUAGCAACAAGACAUUUCCUCUCGUUUGUGGCCGCUAUCUAACCUUGUUUCUAUUCAUUCUUGAAGAUUUUUACUCUUUUAAUUAUGAAGUGAUUAAAAAUUAUAUUUUGUUGUUAUGUUAUUAAUUUCUCUCUACACUAGUUUCACUUCAAAUCACGAGCUUAAGAAGUCUAUAAAAGAGAUAAGGUUGGCCACGGGUAAGUAUAAAGAUGAAUUUGGUAUAUUUAUCAUCUCUUUGUUUAGUAGUUGGAUUUUGUUCGUACCCAUUUAUUUGUAUGAAUGGGCAGAAUAUAGAAACCAUUCUCAACCAUCUAUAAAUUUUCAAAUCUACCCAUUUGGUUGGGCAAUACCCGUUUUAUCUUUUAUUAUUGAACAAAACUACAAAUGAAUGGUAUUAUACAACUUUAGUCUUGCUCAAUUUAUAAUUCUAAAAACAUUAAGAUUUAUCCACAAACUAAGAUUUGUCCUAACAACUAAUAUUCAGUGAAUGACACUGAAAUAACAAUUAUUAGUUUACAAACACAAAAAUGUAAGAUAACACUGAAGGCUUCCAAGCUUUGAGUGAAUAAAAACCUUAUUUGGUCACUUAGUUUUUAUAAUUCUCAAACAUUAAAGAUUAUUAAUAAAAUAAUUGGAGGCAAGACAGAGGAGAGGGAGUUUCGAUGCUUUGUACGUGAUCAUCACCUAGUCGGAAUCUCACAACGGGAAGUCACUACAUGCUAUCCUUUGAUCCUUGCAGAGAGAAGAAGUAUAAAAAAUCUGAUUAGGGAAUUCUUCGACAAGAAGGUAAUGUUGCAGUUCGAAUCAGAGAAUUACACAUUUGAUGUCUAUGUCACCAACGACGGCCGUGUUAAGAUUUUGGAUUUUAACCCUUGGGGUGCAUUUACACUGCCACUGCUAUUUACGUGGGAGGAACUCGAGCAAGUUACAGGGGAAGGGCUAGAUGAUGAUGAUGGUGUGGAGUUGAGAGUUGUGGAGACUCGGUGUGGAAUUCGGCCCGGGUUGAAAACAGCAGUUCCACAGGAGUUCCUGGAUGUUGGCCCAGGGAGUGGAUGGGAGCAGGUCUUGAAGAACGCAUUUGAGGAGCAGCAGCAGAACGCACAAGUAUCGGACGAUGUUUGAGAGAUGUUAAAGUCUAUAUAUAUAAAAGAGUCUUCAUCCCUUGUUUUUGCAUAAGACUUUGAUAUUGAAAAUUUGAACUUUUAACUUCUUGAGUUUCAAACUUGUUAAGGGUCUUUGAUAGUGCAUGGUGAUUCGUACUUGAGAGAGCGAUAGUUGUAGCAACAAGACAUUUCCUCUCGUUUGUGGCCGCUAUCUAACCUUGUUUCUAUUCAUUCUUGAAGAUUUUUACUCUUUUAAUUAUGAAGUGAUUAAAAAUUAUAUUUUGUUGUUAUGUUA